GCCCCUUAUGAGCUGGGCUACACACGUGCUACAAUGGACGGUACAACGAGUUGCAGAUCCCGAAGGCUAGCGAAUCUUUAUAAGCCGUUCUCAGUUCGGAUUGCUCUCUGCAACUCGAGAGCAUGAAGCCGGAAUCGCUAGUAAUCGCGGAUCAGGACGCCGCGGUGAAUACGUUCCCGGGUCUUGUACACACCGCCCGUCACACCACGAGAGUUCGUAACACCCGAAGCCGGUGGAGCAACCCCUUGGGGAGCUAGCCGUCGAAGGUGGGAUGGAUGAUUGGGGUGAAGUCGUAACAAGGUAGCCCG
RNAcentral lists this ribosomal RNA (308 nucleotides) under uncultured bacterium. RNAcentral describes it as "bacterial SSU rRNA". It matches the Rfam family "Bacterial small subunit ribosomal RNA", at positions 1197 to 1503 of the family's 1533-position model. The record is from RNAcentral.